Molecule: ribosomal RNA, 253 nt
Filed under: uncultured bacterium
Lineage: Bacteria
Description: partial 16S ribosomal RNA
Rfam family: Bacterial small subunit ribosomal RNA
Source: RNAcentral
UACGAAGGGGGCUAGCGUUGCUCGGAAUCACUGGGCGUAAAGGGUGCGUAGGCGGGUCAUGAAGGCUGUGGUGAAAGUCCGGGGCUCAACCUCGGAUCGGCCGUGGCGACUCGUGGGCUGGAGCACUGUAGAGGCGGGUGGAAUUCCGGGUGUAGCGGUGGAAUGCGUAGAGAUCCGGAAGAACACCAGUGGCGAAGGCGGCCCGCUGGGCAGUGGCUGACGCUGAGGCGCGACAGCGUGGGGAGCAAACAGG